This is a non-coding RNA of Ictidomys tridecemlineatus (thirteen-lined ground squirrel), 72 nucleotides long. Lineage: Eukaryota; Metazoa; Chordata; Mammalia; Rodentia; Sciuridae. The record is from Rfam.
GGGGUUGUAGCUCAGUGAUAGAGCACUUGCAUAGCCUGUAUGAGGCACUGGGUUCGAUCCCCAGCACCAUCU